CAGUAGCCACGGGAAUACGUAGGUGGCAAGCGUUGUCCGGAAUUAUUGGGCGUAAAGGGCUCGCAGGCGGUUUCUUAAGUCUGAUGUGAAAGCCCCCGGCUCAACCGGGGAGGGUCAUUGGAAACUGGGAAACUUGAGUGCAGAAGAGGAGAGUGGAAUUCCACGUGUAGCGGUGAAAUGCGUAGAGAUGUGGAGGAACACCAGUGGCGAAGGCGACUCUCUGGUCUGUAACUGACGCUGAGGAGCGAAAGCGUGGGGAGCGAACAGGAUAAGAGACCCGUGUAGUCCCUGUCUCUUAUAC
This 301-nucleotide ribosomal RNA is filed under the name uncultured bacterium. Its description in RNAcentral is "partial 16S ribosomal RNA". It matches the Rfam family "Bacterial small subunit ribosomal RNA", at positions 509 to 807 of the family's 1533-position model. The record is from RNAcentral.